GACGAACGCUGGCGGCGUGCUUAACACAUGCAAGUCGAACGGAAAGGCCCUGCUUUUGUGGGGUGCUCGAGUGGCGAACGGGUGAGUAACACGUGAGUAACCUGCCCUUGACUUUGGGAUAACUUCAGGAAACUGGGGCUAAUACCGGAUAGGAGCUCCUGCUGCAUGGUGGGGGUUGGAAAGUUUCGGCGGUUGGGGAUGGACUCGCGGCUUAUCAGCUUGUUGGUGGGGUAGUGGCUUACCAAGGCUUUGACGGGUAGCCGGCCUGAGAGGGUGACCGGCAACAUUGGGACUGAGAUGCGGCCCAGACUCCUACGGGAUGCAGCAGUGGGGAGUAUUGCACAAUGGGCGGAGGCCUGAUGCAGCAACGCCGCGUGCGGGAUGACGGACUUCGGGUUGUAAACCGCUUUCGCCUGUGACGGAGCGUGAGUGACGGUAAUGUGUAAAGAAGCACCGGCUAACUACGUG
Molecule: ribosomal RNA, 468 nt
Filed under: uncultured bacterium
Lineage: Bacteria
Description: partial 16S ribosomal RNA
Rfam family: Bacterial small subunit ribosomal RNA
Source: RNAcentral